GGGCCGGUAGCUUAGUUGGUAGAGCACCUGGCUGGCAGUCAGGGGGUCGUGGGUUCGAAUCCCAUCCGGUCCACCU
Molecule: transfer RNA, 76 nt
Filed under: Candidatus Brennerbacteria bacterium CG11_big_fil_rev_8_21_14_0_20_43_10
Lineage: Bacteria; Candidatus Brenneribacteriota
Also listed under: 1 other name
Description: tRNA-Ala
Rfam family: tRNA
About the family: Transfer RNA (tRNA) molecules are approximately 80 nucleotides in length. Their secondary structure includes four short double-helical elements and three loops (D, anti-codon, and T loops).
Source: RNAcentral